RNAcentral lists this ribosomal RNA (468 nucleotides) under uncultured bacterium. Its description in RNAcentral is "partial 16S ribosomal RNA". It matches the Rfam family "Bacterial small subunit ribosomal RNA", at positions 28 to 507 of the family's 1533-position model. The record is from RNAcentral.
GACGAACGCUGGCGGCGUGCUUAACACAUGCAAGUCGAACGGAAAGGCCCUGCUUUUGUGGGGUGCUCGAGUGGCGAACGGGUGAGUAACACGUGAGUAACCUGCCCUUGACUUUGGGAUAACUUCCGGAAACUGGGGCUAAUACCGGAUAGGAGCUCCUGCUGCAUGGGGGGGGUUGGAAAGUUUCGGCGGUUGGGGAUGGACUCGCGGCUUAUCAGCUUGUUGGUGGGGUAGUGGCUUACCAAGGCUUUGACGGGUAGCCGGCCUGAGAGGGUGACCGGCCCCAUUGGGACUGAGGUACGGACCAGACUCCUACGGGAGGCAGCAGUGGGGAAUAUUGCCCAGUGAGCGGAAGCCUGAUGCAGAAACGCCGCGUGCGGGAUGACGGCCUUCGGGUUGUAAACCGCUUCCGCCUGUGACGAAGCGUGAGUGACGGUAAUGGGUAAAGAAGCACCGGCUAACUACGUG